CGGUCGUAACAAGGUUGAAUGUGAUCCUUUCUGCUCACGAGCAAACGGAAGCCUUAGCGGCCCCCGAAAGGGGGCGGCCGGUCGCGACUCAAAAUAAAGAGAACCAGCCAGUCUCGGUGCGGACCGAGUACGCUAGUCAGACAGGGGGUUUCUGGCGACACUAUCGAAUUGCGGGGAGUUUCCUUAGAGCCUUUGCUACCGCCCCCGCGUGGAAACAUGGCGGGUGGCACCAGGGUAAUGACCUCGGGCAUGGUAAAAAAGCGCAAAGGAUUGGAUAAUCCGCAGCCAAGCGCCUACGGCCCCUCUGGGGGCACGGCGAAGGUCCACAGACUAAGGUGGUAGUGGGUGUGAGCCGGUCUCAUGCUUAAGAUACAGUCGGGCCCCCUUGGGAAACCUUGGGGGGGCCCCGGGCCCUCAGACAUGAGCCCGGGGCAAGCUGUUCCGUAGGUGAACCUGCGGAAGGAUCAUUAAUGAGUUAGGGUCUCCGGGCCCCGACCUCCAACCCCUUUUGUUGUCACAAAACCCACUUUUGUUGCUUUGGCGUGGCCCGCCGGCCCCCCUCACGGGGGGUGGGCUGCCGGUCUUCGGCCCGGCAAGCGCCCGCCAGAGGCUCACCAAACUCUUGUUUUUGAACCGUACGUCCGAGUAAAAGUGAUUAAAUCAAUCAAAAC
RNAcentral lists this unclassified non-coding RNA (671 nucleotides) under plant metagenome. Its description in RNAcentral is "partial contains small subunit ribosomal RNA and internal transcribed spacer 1". The stretch from base 53 to 400 matches the Rfam family "Group I catalytic intron". Rfam says of the family: Group I catalytic introns are large self-splicing ribozymes. They catalyse their own excision from mRNA, tRNA and rRNA precursors in a wide range of organisms. The core secondary structure consists of 9 paired regions (P1-P9). The record is from RNAcentral.